AGCGAACGCUGGCGGCAGGCUUAACACAUGCAAGUCGAGCGGACCUUUCGGGGUCAGCGGCGGACGGGUGAGUAACGCGUGGGAACGUGCCUUCCGGUUCGGAAUAACCCUGGGAAACUAGGGCUAAUACCGGAUACGCCCUUAUGGGGAAAGGUUUACUGCCGGAAGAUCGGCCCGCGUCUGAUUAGCUAGUUGGUGGGGUAACGGCCUACCAAGGCGACGAUCAGUAGCUGGUCUGAGAGGAUGAUCAGCCACACUGGGACUGAGACACGGCCCAGACUCCUACGGGAGGCAGCAGUGGGGAAUAUUGGACAAUGGGCGCAAGCCUGAUCCAGCCAUGCCGCGUGAGUGAUGAAGGCCUUAGGGUUGUAAAGCUCCUUUAUCCGGGACGAUAAUGACGGUACCGGAGGAAUAAGCCCCGGCUAACUUCGUG
RNAcentral lists this ribosomal RNA (433 nucleotides) under uncultured bacterium. RNAcentral's name for it is "partial 16S ribosomal RNA". It matches the Rfam family "Bacterial small subunit ribosomal RNA", at positions 29 to 507 of the family's 1533-position model. The record is from RNAcentral.